AUGUGGCACUCACUAGUGUGAUGA
Molecule: non-coding RNA, 24 nt
Filed under: Arabidopsis thaliana (thale cress)
Lineage: Eukaryota; Viridiplantae; Streptophyta; Magnoliopsida; Brassicales; Brassicaceae
Source: RNAcentral